Bactrocera oleae (olive fruit fly) is the source of this 2656-nucleotide long non-coding RNA. RefSeq lists it as uncharacterized. NCBI's taxonomy places the organism in Eukaryota, Metazoa, Arthropoda, Insecta, Diptera, Tephritidae. The record is from RefSeq and is a predicted model, not a curated record.
GCAUGCAAGUUUGUACACAAUUCUUAUAAAAAGUUGAGGGCUACAAUAUUCAACGUGUUACUUAGCAUAGAUAUGUUAUCAGUUUAAGAAACGUUAAAAAUUUAGAUGUCAACAAAUAAUUUUUUUUUAGGUUUCCGUAACAUUUUGUUUGGUUACAUGGGUAAACCCUGUGUUAAGGUAACUAAACAAAAUGUUAAAAUUUCAGUUGUUGAUCUUGUUGUCUUAACCAAACAACAAAUUUUAGAUUAAGACGAAGAAGUUUUCCACUUCCAAUUUUGUGCUAAAAUGAGCCAGAAGAACGAAAUUUUUUUAUACAAUUCAAGAUAAAAAUAUACAAUAUUGGGCAGUUAUGAUUAAAUUGAUCCCUCUACUUUUUGGUUGAUAAAUCCAGUCCAUCUUUUUGUAUUUCUUAAGAAAGUGUUUAUUUAUUCAUGAAUAUCUAUUUUGUCAAAAAGACAAUAUCCCAAUUCACUUAUGCCACCGUUUUUCCAAUCAUCCUAGUUGCUAUCACCGUCUCGACUUGGGAACUGGGUUAGUUCCUUAAGCAGACCUGGGCAGUGAAGCGUCUGGUCAAGACAGGGAUGUAUAUUCAUUCUUCGCUUUCUGGUAAUUUUGCCUUGAAUGGAAUGUACAGCUACCUCUGCCAUUGCUAAUAUAUAAGCGGUAGGUAUAAAACGCUAGGGCAAUAAAACUCAUAAUUGAGGACAACGAUGGGACUGGGAUAUCAGCCCAAACGUCGGUGGGAGAAGUGGCUGCUACCAUCGGCGGGCACAGUGAGUCUACUUACUAGGCCGCCGGGGGCUAUACCUCUGCUGAAAAGGCAGCAGUUCACAGCGUUUGUAGAGCUACUGCCAAACCCGUUUUACAACGCAUAGGCGCUAUGGUCCAUGAACACUCGGACUUCGAAAGCAUUAACAUGAUCAAAGAGUAAGUUUUGUUACGCUCUCCGAGGGAUGCCAAGGGUGCUGGCUCAGCAAUAAAGACUAGGCCCAGGGCAAAAUCCAGAAAGGAGGGUUGAAGGCGAAAGUUAUAUAGAAAGUGGCGGAUAAAUUCCAUGAAAGAUUUGGCUGUGAGUCCAACUGGACGAAGAAGAAGAGUAGAGGGUAGCUUGUCCUCAUAGAAAAAUGGAGGAAAGCUGAUCUCACUACGCAUCGUGACCGUAACUCUCGUCCAGAGGUCCAAAGUUUGUUAAUCGGAUCGAAGUGGUGAUUAUGUUCAAAAGGCUGCUGUCAGCUGAAAGCGAAACAGCGGGGACAGCCAAACGAUCGAAGCGAACGGACGACGCUGUAGAGUUAAGUGUUAAGUUAGACCAGAGAAACUUUCAACCCCCAGGGAGGCAGCAACUGAGCAGUGGGGCUUAAGCUGCUUGAUGCGCUCUUCGCGAAAAUGGAUGAAGAGCUGGGCACGUCUAUGCCAACGUUCCAACUUUUGAUUGUGCGGGCUAGCUAAAUAGAGCCAAAAUCCUAAAAUGUAAGCACGACCCCUCUAUGUUAUGGAUAAAGGAAGGAGGAAGGCAGUCAGAAUUACAUCGUCCAAAUAAACAAGUCCGAAGACAUUUUGUACGGAAGGUUCCGGAAGAUGGAGUGGGGUGUGGGUAUCGUAUAAAUUCCCCGCGAAAAGUGCAACCCGGCUCAUUAUAACGUAAACACGCUGGGGAAGCGAGGGGUCGAGAAGGAUCUAGGUGAGAUCGUGAAAGCCAUGAAGCAGAUGUGGGUGAUCCGGAGACUUAACCCGACCCGAGAAGAUGUCGAAUCUCAGCAGUGAAGUUUUUUCAGAUAAAUCUACAUAAAAUCUUAAUAUAGAGGGUAUCGGCUACUUUGUAGGUUUAGUUCAGGAACCAUGGAAAGCUAGGAAAACAUGGUGUCUGGACUAAAGCCGCCGUCAUAAUGCACAUACAUUCUGAGUGUAACAAACAACGUAAAAACUGUAAUACUGUGGUGGCUGUAAAGAACGACAAGGAUGCGACACUACUCCUUGCAUCCUGUUAUAUGCUCACGAUGAUGCAGCGGAACUCCGGCGGUUGAUAAAUGUGGUUUAGAAAGCGAGAAACCCCUUGGUAAAAGGCGCUGACGCCAAUUAGCACCUCACGGUUUUAGUGAUACCAACGUUAGGGGGGAGUCAUUACUAAAUUGUUUAGCUAACCGUGUAUAUAGGCUCUUCCUGGAAGACUACAUACUACGACAGUGAUCAAGGUUGAAGAUUGGGAGGUGUGUCGGACACACUUGAUUUCUAACGAUAGGUAUGCAAGAUUUUAAGUAAAAUUCUUAGCUCUCAAUAAAAGUGAAACCUUCAAAAAUCCCAAGAACACUUACUAGAAUUUGUUCAUUAAAAUAGGAUUUUAACCAAACUUGCCUUGCAUGUGAAUCAUCUUGGAAGUAAAAACACUUUCUAGCCGUAGGGAAAUGCUUGGCAUAGUAUUCUUAGUCAAAAAUUCGAAUGGAACAGUUUGCAGUUAUUUUCUCCUGUCUGAAAUUAAAUUUAAUAGCCCGGUUCGCUUUUCGAGGCAGUUUAGACCUUUACUGUUAAAAUCCUUUAGAUCAAAUUUCGAACUAAAUGAACCAUUCCGCCAUAUAUGUCAUGAUUUUAAUUCUCAUUCUAGCAUAUUUGACUUAUCUGGCUCAGUUUUCAAAAUUAAAAAGACUUUAUUGCUUUCUCG